RNAcentral lists this ribosomal RNA (866 nucleotides) under uncultured bacterium. RNAcentral describes it as "bacterial SSU rRNA". It matches the Rfam family "Bacterial small subunit ribosomal RNA", at positions 639 to 1501 of the family's 1533-position model. The record is from RNAcentral.
GGCUAGAGUACAGGAAGGGAGAGUGGAAUUCUUGGUGUAGCAGUGAAAUGCGUAGAUAUCAAGAGGAACACCGGAGGCGAAGGCGGCUCUCUGGAAUGAUACUGACGCUGAGGCACGAAAGCUGGGGGAGCAAACAGGAUUAGAUACCCUGGUAGUCCCAGCCCUAAACGGUGUGCACUUGAUGUAGCUAGGUUUGUCCCUAGCUGUGUCGGAGCUAACGCGUUAAGUGCACCGCCUGAGGAGUACGGUCGCAAGGCUAAAACUCAAAGGAAUUGACGGGGGCCCGCACAAGCGGUGGAGCAUGUGGCUUAAUUCGAUGCAACGCGAAGAACCUUACCAGGGCUUGACAUGCAGAGUUCAGGCAUUGAAAGAUGCUGGCCGUAAGGCGAUCUGCACAGGUGCUGCAUGGCUGUCGUCAGCUCGUGCCGUGAGGUGUUGGGUUAAGCCCCGCAACGAGCGCAACCCCUGUGAUUAGUUGCCAUCUUACGAGAGUAGAGGCACUCUAGUCAGACUGCCUGUGACAAGCAGGAGGAAGGUGGGGAUGACGUCAAGUCAGUAUGGUCCUUAUGUCCUGGGCUGCACACGUGCUACAAUGGACAGUACAGUGGGAGGCAAGACCGCGAGGUGGAGCAAAUCCUCAAAACUGUCCUCAGUACAGAUUGAAGUCUGCAACUCGACUUCAUGAAGCCGGAAUCGCUAGUAAAGGCGUAUCAGCUACGGCGCCUUGAAUACGUUCUCGGGCCUUGUACACACCGCCCGUCACAUCAUGAAAGUCGACUGCACCCGAAGUCGCUGGUCCGACACGCAAGUGGGGAAGGUGCCGAAGGAGUGGUUCGUGACUGGGGUGAAGUCGUAACAAGGUAACC